UUAAGCUACAAGAAGGCGCACUGAGGAUGCCUUGGGACUAACCGGCGAAGAAGGACGCUGCCAAUCUGCGAAAUGCCACGGGGAGCUGAUAAGCGAGUAUUGAUCCGUGGAUGUCCGAAUGGGGAAACCCCUUAUGCGGUGACGCAUAAGAUCCUGUACUGAGUGAAGUAGGUAUAGAGAAGCGAACGUGGGGAAUUGAAACAUCUUAGUACCCACAGGAAAAGAAAUCAAACAAGAGAUUGCCCUAGUAGCGGCGAGCGAAGGGGCAAUAGCCUAAACCGAUGUCAUGUCAAUCUGACUGGAGUUGUGACGUUGGGGUUAUGAGAGCAAUUGGGUACAUCAGUCAAUGUACCGCGAAGUAAGAAAUCACAUUUUUAACUGAAGAGUCUGGGAAGGCUCACCAUAGAGAGUGAAAGUCUCGUAAGUGAAAGGAAUGUGACUUCGUGGAUUGUUUCUCAAGUAAUACGGGACACGUGGAAUCCUGUGUGAAGUAGGGGAGACCAUUCUCCAAGGCUAAACACGAGUUAGUCACCGAUAGUGAACUAGUACCGCGAGGGAAAGGUGAAAAGUCCCCCGUUGAGGGGAGUGAAAUAGUAUCUGAAACAGUGUGCUUACAACCUGUAAGAGAGCGUUGAUCAUCCAUGGUGGUGAUUAGGCUUGAUUACGUACCUUUUGCAUAAUGAGCCAACGAGUUACGAUAUGUGGCAAGGUUAAGGCGAAGAGCCGGAGCCAGAGGGAAACCGAGUCUGAAUAGGGCGAAACAUUAAGUCGCACGUCGUAGACCCGAAACGGGAUGAGCUACCCAUGACCAGGUCGAAGCGUCCGUAACAGGGCGUGGAGGACCGAACCGGUGGGCGUUGAAAAGCUCUCGGAUGAGUUGUGGGUAGGGGUGAAAGGCCAAUCAAAUUCCGUGAUAGCUGGUUUUCUCCGAAACAUAUUUAGGUAUGGCCUCGUACGAACACUAUCGGAGGUAGAGCACUGACUGGGCUAGGGGCCUUACCGGGUUACCAACCCCUAUCAAACUCCGAAUGCCGAUAAGUGAUGUACGGGAGACAGACGGUGGGGGAUAAGCUUCAUCGUCAAGAGGGAAAGAACCCAGAGCGCCGUCUAAGGCCCCAAAUUCAUAGCUUAGUGGGAAAGGAUGUGGAUUUACACAGACAACCAGGAGGUUGGCUUAGAAGCAGCCAUCCUUUAAAGAAAGCGUAAUAGCUCACUGGUCGAGUGAAUCUGCGCCGAAAACGUAACGGGGCUGAAGCUAUGAGCCGAAGACGCGUCAUUUUAGAGAGUGUCGUCUCUCUGAGAUGGGUAGGAGAACAUUGUGUAUGCCGAAGAAGCGUGAGCGAGAGCACACGUGGAGGUGGCACAAGAGCUGCUGUUGGCAUGAGUAGCGAUAAACAAGGUGAGAAUCCUUGUCGCCGUAAGCCCAAGGGUUCCUGAGCAAGGUUCGUCCGCUCAGGGUUAGUCGAUACCUAAGUCGAGGCCGAAAGGCGUAGACGAUGGAUAGCAGGUGAAUAUUCCUGCACUCGCAUGAAAGCGUUACUAAUCAAGUGGUGACGAAGAAGGUUAAGCGUAGCCGGCUGUUAUGGUUGUGCCGGUUCAAGGUUGUAGGUGGAAUCUGGAGGUAAAUCCCUGGGUUCGUUAACACCGAGAGCUGAUGACGAGAGUCAAAGACUCGUAAAGUUGCUGAUACCAUGCUUCCAAGAAAGAGCUGCGUGAUGAGUUUUCAUGUGAAUCGUACCGGAAACCGACACAGGUGGGCGGGAUGAGAAAUCUAAGGCGCGUGAGAGAACUCCGCUUAAGGAACUCUGCAAAUUAACACUGUAACUUUGGAAUAAAGUGUGCCCGUAAUGGUGAAGUCGUACAGACGGAGCUGAGACGGGUCGCAGUGACUCGGGGGUAUCGACUGUUUAACAAAAACACAGGGCUCUGCGAACACAAACGUGGACGUAUAGGGUCUGACGCCUGCCCGGUGCUGGAAGGUUAAGGUGAGGGGUCAAAAGGAGUAAUCCUUUGAAGCUCUGAACUUAAGCCCCAGUAAACGGCGGCCGUAACUAUAACGGUCCUAAGGUAGCGAAAUUCCUUGUCGGGUAAG
RNAcentral lists this ribosomal RNA (2092 nucleotides) under bioreactor sludge metagenome. RNAcentral describes it as "bacterial LSU rRNA". It matches the Rfam family "Bacterial large subunit ribosomal RNA", at positions 1 to 1980 of the family's 2925-position model. The record is from RNAcentral.